GACGAACGCUGGCGGCGUGCCUAAUACAUGCAAGUAGAACGCUGAAGAGGGGAGCUUGCUCUUCUUGGAUGAGUUGCGAACGGGCGAGUAACGCGUAGGUAACCUGCCUUGUAGCGGGGGAUAACUAUUGGAAACGAUAGCUAAUACCGCAUAACAAUGGAUGACACAUGUCAUUUAUUUGAAAGGGGCAAUUGCUCCACUACAAGAUGGACCUGCGUUGUAUUAGCUAGUAGGUGAGGUAACGGCUCACCUAGGCGACGAUACAUAGCCGACCUGAGAGGGUGAUCGGCCACACUGGGACUGAGACACGGCCCAGACUCCUACGGGAGGCAGCAGUAGGGAAUCUUCGGCAAUGGGGGCAACCCUGACCGAGCAACGCCGCGUGAGUGAAGAAGGUUUUCGGAUCGUAAAGCUCUGUUGUAAGUCAAGAACGAGUGUGAGAGUGGAAAGUUCACACUGUGACGGUAGCUUACCAGAAAGGGACGGCUAACUACGUGCCAGCAGCCGCGGUAAUACGUAGGUCCCGAGCGUUGUCCGGAUUUAUUGGGCGUAAAGCGAGCGCAGGCGGUUUGAUAAGUCUGAAGUUAAAGGCUGUGGCUCAACCAUAGUUCGCUUUGGAAACUGUCAAACUUGAGUGCAGAAGGGGAGAGUGGAAUUCCAUGUGUAGCGGUGAAAUGCGUAGAUAUAUGGAGGAACACCGGUGGCGAAAGCGGCUCUCUGGUCUGUAACUGACGCUGAGGCUCGAAAGCGUGGGGAGCGAACAGGAUUAGAUACCCUGGUAGUCCACGCCGUAAACGAUGAGUGCUAGGUGUUGGAUCCUUUCCGGGAUUCAGUGCCGCAGCUAACGCAUUAAGCACUCCGCCUGGGGAGUACGACCGCAAGGUUGAAACUCAAAGGAAUUGACGGGGGCCCGCACAAACGGUGGAGCAUGUGGUUUAAUUCGAAGCAACGCGAAGAACCUUACCAGGUCUUGACAUCCCGAUGCUAUUUCUAGAGAUAGAAAGUUACUUCGGUACAUCGGUGACAGGUGGUGCAUGGUUGUCGUCAGCUCGUGUCGUGAGAUGUUGGGUUAAGUCCCGCAACGAGCGCAACCCCUAUUGUUAGUUGCCAUCAUUCAGUUGGGCACUCUAGCGAGACUGCCGGUAAUAAACCGGAGGAAGGUGGGGAUGACGUCAAAUCAUCAUGCCCCUUAUGACCUGGGCUACACACGUGCUACAAUGGUUGGUACAACGAGUUGCGAGUCGGUGACGGCAAGCUAAUCUCUUAAAGCCAAUCUCAGUUCGGAUUGUAGGCUGCAACUCGCCUACACGAAGUCGGAAUCGCUAGUAAUCGCGGAUCAGCACGCCGCGGUGAAUACGUUCCCGGGCCU
This 1369-nucleotide ribosomal RNA is filed under the name uncultured bacterium. RNAcentral's name for it is "bacterial SSU rRNA". It matches the Rfam family "Bacterial small subunit ribosomal RNA", at positions 28 to 1381 of the family's 1533-position model. The record is from RNAcentral.